This 32770-nucleotide long non-coding RNA is filed under the name Malus domestica (apple). RNAcentral's name for it is "long non-coding RNA (MDOM_LNC016044)". The record is from RNAcentral. Lineage: Eukaryota; Viridiplantae; Streptophyta; Magnoliopsida; Rosales; Rosaceae.
GGCACUCAUCAUGUUCGGGUUCAUGCCAAUUCCACUUUGAACCAUUUGCGGUCCCGAGAGAUUUCCUUGGCUCAUACCAGGCACAGCUUGACCCAUACUAACACCACCUUGGAGGUUGCUCAUUGGUUGUGACAUCCCAAGGUUAUUGUUGCCAGAGACAUUAGAGGUACCUGAAGUGAAUGAAUUAAGACCUGGGUUCUGCGCAACCUGUGUAAGAGUGCCGGACCCUGAAGAUGUAAAUACAUUUUGAGCAGCACCAACUGAAGAUGCCAUUCCACUAGAUAUCAUAUUUGAUACAUGCAUGGCCAUAGGAUUUUGACCCAUAGUUGGGAGUCCCAUAGAAGUUCCUCCAGUUAAGGCUGCUGCGUUCAUCACACGUGCCUGAGAGAUGUUAUUGAGGAUGCUACCUACAGGACGCGAGGGAUGUGUCACACCACUCACUACAGGUUUCAAAUCUGGCACAUUAUCAUUGUUUGUGGCCAUCUCUUGAGAAGCAGAAGAUGGUGAAGAAGUCUGCAAGCUCGGGACUCCUUGGGAAGGAGGACGGACAGAUGGAAUGUGUGCAAAAGAAGGUCCCAUGGAACUUACGGUACUUGGCUCCUAAACAAAUCAUAUCAAAACUUUAUAACUAUACGUGUGCAAUUUAAAGCAGUAUACCAGACCAAAGUGAACAUCUCUUUCCUUUGCACAAAGCAUAAAAGUUCAAGAGUGCAUAAGAAAUCUUACAACUUUUACAGUAGCAGGAGGCACAUUUCCAACAGAAAUUGGUUGCCGAUUCAUAACAGGUCCAUUCACUAAUUUGAAAAAGAGGAAAGAAAAAGAAAGGACAAGUUAGCAAACAAGCAGGAUAACCAAGAAUUAACCAUGAAAAAUUAUGAACAGCCUAACCAUAACAAACUUAAGUGAUUAAUUCAAGCAAGACAGCCUAUUAUACUAAGAUUUGUAAUUCAAACCUUACUAUGUUCAUUUGAGGGGUAUGACGAGACAAUUACUCUUAUAAAAGAUAAAAUAGAAAUUGCGACUACACCUUAUUGACACUGAAACAUUGAUAAUUUCAACAAAAAAAAAGUCAAAUAGAUAAGUGAAACCGAAUCAUUAAGUACUUUCAUUAACAGAAAAAAAAAAAAAAAAAAACCAAAUAUUUUGCAGUGGAAAAAGGGACAACAUAUUGACUGCAAAACCAACCAGAGGGCAUAGAAGUUGGAGGCGGCCCAGUAACUGAAGCAACAGGAGCUAUGUCCAUUUUUACAGGACUCUGAUUUGAGGGCAAAGUUGUAAUUCCUGGACGACUUAAAGUAGCACGGGCCUCCAUAAAAUUCUCUGAGAUUAAAACAAGAAAGCGGGGAUUUUUCGCAUUAUCAAUUGGUGGAUCUGCCGCUCUAGGGUUGCGCUUUCCCUGCAUUGGCAAAGUGCUCACUAUCACACCAACUUCUUCUAGUGAUCUUAAGCCAUAGGAAAUAAAAUAUUCAGUCUGGCAAUAAUACUAUCACCUCCCUUUUGUAUUGUCGAACAUUCUUUGCAGCUUUAUUAAUAUAAUUAGACAGUGGUUCCAUGCAUAUGAAUACCAGAAAAAACUAUAUUUUUUGUUCAAGACAGUCUAAGUGGUUGAUUUUAGAAUUCAACAACAUAAAGGGUUAAAGCUCAACAGAGCACCAAGGAAAAUAAAGGAAGUUACUUUAAUGUUGAUUUAGCAAGAUAUACAAAAGGUCAAAAGCUUAAUACAUACAUACAUACAUACAUACAUACAUACAUACAUACAUAUAUAUAUAUAUAUAUAUAUAUUAUAUAUAAUAUUUAAGGAUAAGAGAUAAGAGAUGGAACAUACCGCAUUGUAUAUUGCUCUGAGCUCAGGUAGCUGUAUUGGACAAAUGACUGACAGUGAAACAGAGCUCUGGAUGAAAAAGUAAGGGCUCAUUACUGAUAAUUUUCAACCUUCACGAGGAACCCAUCACAAGGAAAGGAACAGACAUCAUUAAAAUGGGAAUAAACAAAAACACUACCUGUGGAAAUGAUUUAGCAACAGCCUCAGCAUCAUAAAGACGAUUUUCUGUUUGUGCAUCAAUAUUUUCAUUUUGCUCCAAAUUUUGAAUUUGUGGCCGAUACACUGGUGUGGGCAGAGGGUGAGGUUUACUUGCAGCAAUAAGAACACAAUGCUUCUGACAAUCCACAUUUUGUUGAUUUUGGCUUCCAUUUUGAACUGUAGGGAACAUCUGUGUUUUACAUCAGAAGAAUAGUAAAUGUUAAGUUUAACAUGCGACUAAGAAAUGCAUUUGAACUCAAAAGUACUUAGACGGCUUUGAACAGCAUACCAUUAGAGCUUCCGAAAGCCCUUCCGCAAUUGCAGCAUCACUAAAACCACCCCCAGAAAAGGGUAUAGCUGAAAGCCUAUGUAAGAAGAGAUCCACAUCCCUUGUCCAGCCACUCCGUUGUACCAGGCAACCUUGAUGAAAGGUUGUACAAUUAUUUCAAAAUAUUCAUAUAUAUAUAUAUAUAUAUAUAUAUAUUGAGCAAAUGCCAGUUACAGUAAUGACAUGGAAUGCCUACAUAUCAUCUUGGUGAAUUGGGUUCAUAAGAAACAAGGUGUGAUACUAGUUAAGUGGUAAUUUACCAGGAAAAAAAAAAAAACUUCCAUUUCCAGCCAUAAGUUGUCCUACUAAGGGGAACUGGAAACGUAUAACUUAAUGUAGCUCGCUGUAUUUCCACAUAAAGUUCGCAAAACAAGUUUUUCAGACUUCCAGGUGGUGUUAUGUACAAAGAGCCACUACGUUACAAUAAAGUCUACUAAUUUUAGAAUUUAACUUAAAGCUAGUAAAAAUCCACCACUUCAAAGGGAAUAAUUCCACAAAGCAUGUUAAAAUCACCAAGAAAUCAUUUGCAAACCUUGAACAACAUCCACCUUAACUUUCAAACAAUUAUUUGACUUAGUAUAAGAUUGAACCCUGUUUACAAAGAACUAUUUGACUUAGUGUAAGAUUGAAUCCUGUUAGUAGGAGGAUGGAGGACUAGCAAGUCUUCCCCUACAAAAAGUAAAAUUCCUGAAGAAUUUGUAGUCAACCUCGUACUGCAAUAAUAAAUUAACAACACAAGUCAUACAUCCGAAAACUAGGAAUAAGAAGAACAAAAUUACAUACCACAAUAAGAUCCAUGAGUAUUGAACGUGACCAGGGAGAGCUCAACAGUAGAAGUCGACAGCUUCUGCAUCUCAAAAGCCAAAUUACAUAAUAAGAAAAAGACUACCAAGCUAGAAGUCUUACAGACGGAACUAAUAAUGUUGUUGCCAGUGAAACGUAAGAAUGGUUGUCUAUGGUUUGAUAAUAGUUGAUGUAGUGUACACAAAUGGUAAUCAAAUUAUUACAUGCAUGCUAUUAACAUCUAGUCAAAGAAGGCACAACCACCUACACGAAAACAUGUUUAAAUAUGUAAUGAACAAUUAACAGUUCGGACAAAUGACUUCUGAUGGAUAAUGAUAAACCUAAAGUAAUGGAAAAGGGACAUACCUGCCCACUUGGCUCGUUUCCACAGAAACUCCUGCAGGAAAAAGAUAAAUCAGAUGUGACUUAUUUAUAGAGUAGUGCAUAAAAUCCCAUGCAUGUUAAUGAAAAAUCAAUGACAAACUUCAUAUUUGGUUCUAUGUACAGGAAUGUAUUAGAUGAAGAUUGUUAAUAUUCCAAGUAUGAACUUUUGCUGAAGUUGUUAUAGCUAGGCACUUAUUAACUUUUAGAAUUCUCCAGGACACUAUAAAAAUUUCAUGUGCAAUGAAAUGAAACUGUAAAUGGGAAAUCAUGAUAAAACCUCAUCUUUUAUACUAUACUUGGGGGAGUUAAUUAAACCCCAGGAGAAAUAUAUGAUUCAACAGGACAAAUUCAUGAGAACUUACCUUGUAACCUACAUCAUAAGUAGAAACCAGAAAGUAACGUGUGAAAUCAAAGCCGGUCAUAGACAAGGAGGGAGAAAGAACAGAAGCUAGCUACAACACAGCACAAAGGAAGAAAGAUAGAAAAAUUACUAAGAACUUAAUCGCGAACCUUACGAUCUUCUCUAAAUAAUCUUUAAAAAUGAGUUCCCAGAAGGGACCCAUGGCUGCAGUCCCUUCAACAGUGAUGAUCAGUUGUUUCUCAGCCAUUAAGGUUUUCUCUGUGAUAGGAUUGGGGAUCUACUUUUAAAGAUCACAUUGACGACCUCGGGCAUAUCUAUUAGUCUCAUUGAUGAGCACGUAUGUACGUUUUUCUCUAGUUAUUGACACGUCUGCACGAAACUCUGUAAGGUAAAAACUAACCAUCCACCAUCGACCACGUAACCUAUACGUUACUGAUUAUAGUAUUACAAUAACAAAAAUAAUAUUAAGAAUUUAAAUAAUUAAUAAUAAUGUGUAAAAAUACACUUCAGACAUCGUAGUAUAGAGAAUGCUCACUCCAAUAAGCUGGAGCAUGAUACUCUGCUUCAAGAUGUCUAAGGAGUUAUCCACUCUCUCCUUUGCUUGACCACCGGAGGAAAACCAAUUAUUCAAUGUCAAACCCAAAACGUAAAUAUGACAGAUUUAGCCUAUAAGUACUGUAUUUGUUCCUAAAGCAGAAGGUUCUGUAAUAAGUUAAUAGCAAACACGGGAUAAUAACUGAAAGUUACCUCAUUAAAAUCGCUUGUAUUGUCUGCAUAAUUUGGAAGGAAGUUAAUCUUGAUACAUGGAAUGUAUCUAUCUGACCAAUUAUAGGACUUAUUUUCCAUCACAUGCCAACAAGCAACAAAUCAUCGCAUGGAGCUCAUCACCGCGGAUAGCUUCUAACAAAACUGACGAGAACUAACUAAUUAUUUAUAAAUCAAUCAAAAUCCAGUUUCCAUCAGGAUUAUAUGAAAUAAAACUUUGUACAUAGUAGAAAUAUAGCAAGGCUGCCUACGGUUUCACGGUACGAGGGUACAGAAAAAUCGGACCUUUCUACAACUACAACACACUAAACUAGUUUUAUCAGAUUCUUUAGUAGCUGACGAAAGAUUCAAAAUUGAACCAAAACUGUAUAGUUUUUCCAGCUAACAAACAACUACUCCGCAUAACCAAUUUCAAAGUGAAAAGUGAAAUUGCAAUCAAAUGUCGAAUCCGAGCCACCAAACGCAGCCGAAACAAGCUAAUUAAUCACAUAAACAAGCCACAUAAAAUUCUCGCCCGAUAACAAACACCAAAACCCUAAAAUCACAAUGCAACAAAAAAUCUAAAAAAGAAAUCAACAAAAGAAUAAAUUCAGCUAAGAAACUCCCUACCUGAUGAUCUUAUCAAGGUAAUCGGAGACGACGGUUGCCCAGCAGGGCCCCAUGGCGGCGGUGCCUUCAACGGCCACGAUCAGCUGCUUCUCCGCCAUCGUACAGCUAGAAAGGACCGUAGAGAAAUUUCAACUGCUUUUGCUGGCUGUGCGGCGGAAAUGUGUGAGAGUCCAAAGCUUGGAAACGGUGGUAAGUGCACGAAACGCAGCGUUCUGGACGACAAAGACGAGUAUUUUAAAUGGGAGUCGAUACCCCGCUGCUGCCGCGACUGGUUUGGGGUUUCUUCCGGUGGCGCAAAAUUAAAGGCCGAGCCCACAGCCUUUUUUAAGUUUUUUUUUUUUUUUUUUUUUUGAAAAACUGGAAAUAUUCAUAACCAGGGCUGGAACCAAAAACACAGGGAGACCUAUCAGGAGGCAACAACCAAAGUACACAAACAGAUGGCAAUGAAGAGGGGAACAAAGGCUAAAGAUGUUGCACCAAGUGUGAAGCGUCACCCUUUCACUACCCAAAAACAAUUACGGAGGACAGGGGAGGCCAUCCUUGUUCAAAAUAUGCACCAGCGAAUAUGGGGGAUGGUUAAUCCAAGUAUAACCACACAUCUCCGUGUUACUUCUCGACGCCAAACGGUCCAUCGCCAAAUUGACUGAUCUCGAAACCCAAUACCAACGAUACAUCUAAAAGGAAUCCUGAAGCCUUAAAAUUCUAGUCAACGUAGGAUAAGUCUCUCAGCUGCAGAGGACAAAUCAUUACCAAAAAUGUUCUCUUUAGAAUCCGAUUCAACAAUAAUUAUGUGCAAGCCCAGAGAAUGAGCAAAUUCACAUCCAAACAAAAUGGCAAGAGCUUCUGCCACAACAACACACGGAGCAGAAAUCAUCAGUUUCCACACCCCAACAAACCUUCCAUCAGUGCAUCUGGCCACAAUCCCCACACAGCCCUCAGCCGAAGUAACAUCCCAGCUCGCAUCAACAUUGAGCUUGGUAAACAUGGAACAGGGCAGAGAUCAACGAACCAAACCCAAAGGGGAAACCUGCUGAGGUAGAAAGUUCCUCAAAGGUGGAUAAGAAGCCUUCAAAAAAGUUGUUGUCGAAGAGGAGAUAGACAUAAUGACUUUUUGUGGGUUGAUAGCCGUUUGGUUAUAGAGAUUGUUGAUAAUCAAAAUCGGAGGUCUUGGAACAACGUAAAUCCGUCCGUGAAUCUGCAAGAAAUGUAAAUAACACAAGAGUUAUCGUGGUUUACCCCAAGGCUUGGGCUACGUCCACACUGAUUGUAUUUCUCUGACUGUAUGUAUGGAUUACAAGGGUGAGGGGGAGUCCCCCCAGAGAAAGAGAGUGUUAUUGUGUUUGUGAGGGUAUUGCCCUCUGUUGGGUUCACUAAGUCCCCUUUGUGAAAGGAGAAAAGUCCCUUUUUAUAGAAUAAGGGGCUCCUCCUUUUACAUAAUCAUAUGGGCUGGGUAAUGAGGCCAAAUGUAUCAAAGUCUGAGGCCCAAUAUGUGUGGUACCAACAGUAGUCCCCCAAGUUUUCAGUCAAGAGAGUCUUUUGGCUGGAGACUUCAAAUCCAAUCCAUGUAUGGGCCGAAGUGGCUAGAUGCCUUGAACCAGUACUCAACCCAAGGCAAUGCUCAACAUAAAGCAAUAUUCGGCUAGAGGUAUCACACGUUACGAGAUUGCUCGGUUGGAGGCGAUGCUCGUUGUGAGGCUGCUCGGCUAAAGGCUAUACGCGACGAGGCAUUUGCUCGGUUGGAGGCGAUGCUAAUUGCGAGACGGCUUGCUAGAGGCUAUGUUCGCUGCGAGACGGCUCGGUUCGUGGUACUCCUCAUUGCAAGUAUCUAUUUUAUGUCGACAUGCACUCAGUAUGAGUUAAUUCUCGACAUGACUCGGGUCCGCUUGUCGGGUUCGCAUAUUGGGUCUAUGUGUCGGAUCCGUGGAUCGAGUCCGCAAGUCGAGUCUUUGAGUUGGGGUCAUAUGUAUGGUCAUUGAUUUGGGGCUAUCUAUAGGGUUAUCGAGUUGGGACUAUCUGUAAGGUCAUCGAGUUGGGUCCGGGCACAUAAGUGUCCCAAUAAGCGAAUGUCCGUGCAAGUGGGUGUCCGGUCAGACAAGAGAUCACCAUGAGCACAUGGCUCAUCAAUCUAUAAGUUGGUAGAUUUCGUUAAUCAGCAAUAAUGUUGAUCAGUGGACCUAGUUGCUCAAUAAUUCCUAACAAUAAAUGACAGUAUAAGUACGACCGUAUAAUGAAUAAAUCAAAUUGACAAAGUUUGUCAAGGCAAAAUAUUGUACUAUGUGCCUUCUAUACAUAAAUAAUUUAUUCAGUCGUGUGGUAAAUAAUUUGUAUCAUAUAUCAACAAUAUAUUAGGUAUUGCCUAAAUGUGUGUGUAUAUAUAUAUAUAUAUAUAUAAUCAUAUGUUGUUUAAUAAAUCAUAUGUUGUAUAAAUCAAUAACGUGGUAUAAAUAAUGUGAUAUCAGAAAUAAUAUUAUUUAAUCAUAAGUCAUCAUAACAUAAAAAAUAAUAGGAUAUUAAAUAAACAAUGAUAUUCGGAAAACAUUAUGAUGUGAAAAGUAAAGCUCUUUUUUCUUUUUCUUUUUCCUUUUGUCCCUUCAUGAUGAAGGUUUUAUGGCACUAUCAUAUAUAUAUAUAUAUAUAUAUAUAUAUAUAUAUAUAUAUAUAUAUGUGUGUGUGUGUGUGUGUGUGUGUGUAUGUAUAUACAUAUAUUUAUCAUGAGGUGCCGCAUUAUAUGCACAUAUCACGAAAGCAAAUAAUAUAUAGCUAAAUGUGCACUAAAAUAUAAAUUUGAUAGAAAUGAUGUGGUCUCCUCAAAGAAUAUGCAUACUGUAAAGCAUCCCCAACACAAAAUAAUAAUAAACUAUUUAAAUAAACAAAUGAUAAGUUGGAGAAAAGUAAGAGGAUCUUCCUCCUUAGAAAUUAUAAGUUGCUUUCAUUUGGGAUCCUCAUCUUCUCCAAUUGGGUAUAUAUAUAUAUAUAUAUAUAUAUAUAUAUAUAUAUUUUAACAAAGGGAUAGUGGGUAAACAUUAUACCAUGUACCCUUUUUCUUUCUGCCAUGAAUGAUUACAGAUAUAACACUAAAAUAUUGAAAACAUGAGUGAUUAAAGAUAAGUAGCAGAACAUCAUAGAAUGCAUGUGAUGAUAAAAAAUAAUUAAAGGUAAAUAAUAAUAAAAUAAUAAUAAGGAACCCUUAUCUUCCUCCUGGGUCUUCCAGCUUUCUCAGAAAGUGGAAAGUGGACAUGGUGGUAUUCACAGGAGGUGGGAUCCCUGUGUCUGGAAUGAUUAAAGAUAGAUAAGUGUGAUAGAAAUGAUUGCCUUCGCUGCUUUUAGUGAAGGCUUUUUCAACAAAGUGGGAAAAUGCACUCCCCCUCCUAAAAUACAGACACCUUCCGUCGCACAGCACCAACACCGAGUCCAGUUCUUAUAGGCGAUGCUGAGCAGGUUGUGCUCCUCCACCGUCAGCUCGGUCCCGGCGGCGAUGGAGCCGACAACAAGCUUAUCCAUGAAGCUCAUCAUCUCUUCGUACCGCUCGGCCUGCUCGGCGAGUUUUGCCAGGUACACGUACUGUUCUCUGCUGAGGUUUUCAGGGACAGCAGAAGCCAUUGAAGCAGGCGAAUCAAGCGUUCUGCAUCCUCCCCGACAUGGGCACGAACGACAUCGCGGCCUGUGGAAGGAUCAUAGAUGGCAAGGUUGACAUAGGAAUAAGUGGACUGAAAGAGGCCGCAGACCAAAGGCAGACAGAGUCAGGGGCCUUCCAUGUCUUGAGAAUGCAGUAGAUGUCAACGAGGUGUUCAAGGUGUUGUGCUUGUGCCAGCAAUUGCCAACUCAAACUGAGCGCAGCACGGCCACCAGAGAAGGCAUAUUUUUGUCAACAGACUCCAGCUCACCUCGGAGGAAGAGGCAAGUCGAGUUCAAGAGGCUUUGGAGGUAGGUGCCACCAUGGCUGCUCUCCAACGACGGUGUUGGUGUCUUGGAUGGCAUUGAUUUGAUUAAUUAUAGCUGGCUGGCGGUGUUUGGUUUUUUGUACCUAAAAUCUAAGUAGUAAACUCAAAUAUAAGAGAGAGAGAGGGUAUAAAGAGACUGUGACUGUGACUGUUUUUUUUUUUAUUUCUUUUUGUUUUGGUUUUUGGGUUUCUGCAGAUUCACGAUAGAUAUUGUGGUGAGGUUUCACGGUGGUGAGAUAAAAAAAUGAAAGUCGUUUCCCACAAAUUGCACCAAAUGUUGAUGCACAAAACCGGAGGUCUUGGAACAACGUAAAUCCGACCGUGAAUAUGCAAGAAAUGUAAAUAACACAAGAGUUAUCGUGGUUCACCCUAAGGUUUGGGCUACGUCCACACUGAUUGUAUUUCUCUAACUGUAUGUAUGGAUUACAAGGGUGAAAGGGAGUCCCCCAGAAAAAGAUAGUGUUGUUGUAUUUGUGAGGGUAUUGCCCUCUGUUGGGUUCAAUAAGGGGCUCCUCCUUUUACAUAAUCAUAUGGGCUAGGUAAUGAGGCCCAAUGUAUCAAAGUAUGAGACCCAAUAUGUGUGGUACUGUUGAUCCUAAAAACUACAAAGCUUACGUAGCGCGCAGGCCGAGUAAUCUAUAAGCUAACUACGUCAUUCGAUGAAUGCGGGGCGUGCCAACUCGUUGCCCGAGCUUGACCGAGGAGUAAAUUUGUUGAUGUUGCGUUGGGUACGCGGCUGACUUCUGCGUCUUGCGAUUGCGACCGAAGAAGGAACACGUCUCGGCCUCUUGGGUUCUCGAACCUGAAGACAAGGCUACUAUUCUUACAAAGUUCACGAAUCGUCGUCGUUGGAUUCGGUCACAGUGAUGGUAUUCGUCAGAGUAAACUCACGCCGAAUCGACACCAAAGUGUAAGAGCACAAAUACUCGAAGCAGAUAUGAGUCUUAAUAAUGAACGUGGUUCGACCGUCUGAACGUCGAACUCUAAAUCCUACUUGAGAGUAUCCAAUCAUCAAAUAACUCGGCGUACAAUGUGCUGAGCUCGGUGGGCUGUAACACCUCGCUUCGUCGAAAAGGUUAACGAGAUGACCUCAAUCAAUAAGGAUUCAGAAAUCAUUCUCAACCGAGACUUGGAUAGGUAACCAACCGUCUUCGUCGUAGUGCUGUUGAUGCCAACAGAAGAUACUACGAGAUCGACUGAUUCUACGGCGACAGAGCUAUCUAUGUCGACCGAAGAUAUCAUUGGUUGCUUUCACAGUGUUGUUGAUGCCAACGGAAGAUGUGUCAGCGAAAAGAGAAAAUAAAAAAAAAUCUCAAGUUGUUGAGAGAGUUUGCGCAUGGCAGUUGUGUGUUGAAUUGGAAAGGGCUCGAACGAUGCACAGCCUCCUCUAUUUAUAGCACCGAAUACCUUCAAGGUCGAGUUAAAAACCUACCAAGAUUAGGACUUCUUCUCCUAAUCGAACUCCAACUCGACCAGUCUUUUUUUUCACUAUACUUUUGAACCCAGUCCUAUAUUGAGCCGGAUUCACUUCCAGGUUGUUAAUCUCGUCGAAACUCCUCAUUGCACCAGGAUUCGACUCGUCUUGCAGCAUGACUUAACCUACCCAGGUUUGGAAGCCCACGAACCAAACAAUCCAUGGUAACUUUGUCGUAUGGCCUUCCGGGCAGAGAAUAAUUCUAUACUCGGUCCAAACUGAUAUUUUGGGCCCAAACAGGUACCAACAGAGAUAAUUACACCGAGCCUUCCAAAUAAACCAACAAGUGAAGGCAACAUAAGACAAUGACCAAAUAGUUGCAUCCUUAGAUCCUAAAGGUGAAUUUAAAAAAAAGAAAACCAGUUCGCCAACAUCGAGAAACCAGUUUUAUCCACCACGUAAUAAACAGUCAAUAUUAAGACCAACUCCAAUGGUGGGCUAAAAGCUAAAUUUCCCCAUUUAUUCCCCUUCCCAAACACCACCCAACCCAUGCUAAAAUAUCGAGCUAAAAGCCAAAUGCCAAAGCUAGGCCAAAUUCCCCCAUAUGCGAGUGGACUUGCUAGCACUUGGGCCAGUCUCGGCCCGCCCACGCUCCAACGCACCCCAUGCGGUUGGCUUGCAAGGGUUUCCCGACAGGGGUGAGCCCCGCUGUCAGCUGUGUGUCGGCCAACAUUAUCAUCCUAACAACUAUAGUUUUAAUCCAAGGGCUGGGCUCAGUGGCGGAUCUACAGAGGGACCUGGGAGGUCCCAGGACCCUCCGGCAAUCCUAAAAUGCUACUAUAAAUUUUCUGGGGGACCCCUCAAAGCAGGAUCUGUGCUGUCAUGUGCUGCAGGUUGCAGCUUGCAAUGGAGAAGAAGACAGGGGGAAGAAAAGAAGACAGGGGGAAGAAGAAAGAACAGGGCCUAAAGGCCUUUUAAAAAAUUGGUCCAAAACGCAGUGUUUUGGCCAAUUUGUUUAAAUUGUUUUUUUUUUUUUUUUUAAAACCCAACCGUUUGUCCAUGAUUCCCGAGACCCUUUAACGCCUAGCCCACAUGAUGGGCCAUCCUGAGUCACUCUUCCUUCCCCACCCCCCAGUUCCUGCUUUUCCAUUCCCCCUAAUCCCCAUCUUUCUUAUAUUCACCCAAAACCAAAACCCUAAAUUUCUAAUCCCACCCAAUCCCAUAUUAUAAUUAUAUUACUCCAAUAUUAUACCUCCACUUGUUUCAAUUCUCCAAGCCACCACUAUUUGGUUCAAAAUUCAAGUAAGUUUUUUGGUAUUAAUCUAAUCUCAAUUAAAUUAUAUUAGAUAUUGGUGGAGAUUUUUAGUCUAUUAUUGAUAUGAUUGUUGAUAUGUUUUAUGUUUGUAUACUCAUUUUAUCAUUGAAAUUUAGAUGGAUUUUUUGUUUAUUGGUUGAUUGGUAUAUGUUUUGUGUUUUUGGUUAAAUGUGUAGUUUAGAAAUAAGAAAUAUGGAAAGAUUUUUCAAGCCAAAGCCAAUAGCACUAUCUACUUGUUCGGGUAGUUUGAGCUCAAGACAAAAUGAGCGUGACAUUGAUUUUAAUAGUCUUGAGAGAGACUUGGGAAAAAGAAUUCGAAUGAAGGACUAUCCUUCUAAUAUUCAAGAUGAGGUCCGAAUAGCAUAUUUGCAAAUGGGACCUUGUAGGCCUACAAAGUAUGAGUUCCCAUACACUUUGCAUGCAAAGAAAAAGCAACGAUUUGUUGUUUCGUGGUUUGAAGAAUAUGAUUGGUUGGAGUAUAGUAUAUCUAAAGAUGCGGCAUUUUGUCUUCAUUGCUAUCUCUUUAAAAUCAACUUUUCACAAUUAGGAAGCGAUGCCUUCACUGGGGUAGGCUUUAAGAAAUGGAAGAAUGCAAGAGAAUGUUUUGACAAGCAUGUUGGUCCUAUUGGUAGUUUCCAUAAUAAAGCUAGAGAAGCGGCUAGUUAUUUAAUGAACCAAAAGACACAUAUUGAAGCAGUUGUGAUCAAAUAGUCAGAAGAAGAGUGUAUGAAAUAUCGUCUUUAUUUGAAUGCAUCAAUAGAUUGCACUAGUUCUUGUUGCGACAAGUCCGUCCUUUUUGUGGCCACGAUGAAAGUGACACUUCGAAUAAUAGGGGGAAUUAUUUAGAACUCUUGCAAUUCCUUGCGGAUCAUGAUGAGAAAAUAAAGGAAGUUGUGUUGGAAAAUGCUCCGAGAAAUCUCAACCUAAUAGCUCAUUCAAUUCAAAAAGAUAUUGUCAAUUCAUGUGCCUUCGAAACUAUUAAGGCUAUUAUGAAAGAAGUGAAAGAAAGUAAAUUCUUUUAUAUAAUGGUAUGAAUCACGUGAUAUUUCAACAAAGGAGCAAAUGGUAGUGAUUUUGCGUUAUGUGGACAACAAAGGUCAAGUAAUUGAAAGGUUCGUGGGAGUCAAACAUGUUACUGAAACAACUUCAAGUAAACUAAAGGAGUCCAUUGAUGAGUUCUUGAAACUACAUGAUUUGAGCUACUCCAACCUACGAAGUCAAGGUUAUGAUUGAGCGAGUAAUAUGAGAGGUGAGUUCAAUGGCCUUAAAAAAAAAAUUUGGAUGAAGAAAGUUGUGCAUUCUAUGUUCAUUGUUUUGCUCAUCAACUACAAUUAGCUUUUGUUGCUGUAGCAAAGAAAAACUCCGAUGUUGGCGCUUUUUUCACAUUGACUAAUAAUUUGGUGAAUGUUGUUGGAUGCUCAUGUAAGCGUCAUGAUGCACUUAGAGAGAAACAACAAGAAAAUCUCAUGAAAGCUAUUGAAAAUGAUUGUCUUGAAACGGGGCAAGGGUUAAAUCAAGAAACUAGUCUCAAACGUGCUGGGAAUACACGGUGGAAUUCACAUUAUGGUGCUUUGAUUAGUUUGAUUACAAUGUUCUCAUCUGUGGUGGAUGUGCUUGACAUGAUUGUUGAAGAUUGCUACAAUGAUAGUGCUGGUGAAGCAAAAGGUUAUUAAAAGAUUUACAAUCUUUUGAGUUUGUGUUCCUCCUCUUUUUGAUGAAAUCCAUAUUAGGAGUUACAAAUGAUUUGUCACAAGCAUUACAAAAAAAGAAGAUCAAGAGAUUGUGAAUGCAAUGGCUUUAGUCAAGACAUGUAAAGAACAACUACGUUGCAUGAGGAAUGAUGAAAAUUUUGAUCUUUUGGUUGAUAAAGUAUCAUCUUUUUGUGUUGAACAUGAAAUUGAGAUGCCUAAUAUGGAUGAUUUAUAUGUCAUUCAAGGGAAGUCAUUGCGUAAGGCUCCAAGAAAGACCAAUCGUCAUCAUUACAAAGUGGAGCUCUUUUUUGAGGUCAUUGAUUUCCAACUUACAGAAUUAGAUGAUCGCUUCACUGAAGGUAAUACCGAAUUGCUUAUUUGCUUGGCAUGUUUGAGUCUGAAUGAUUCAUUUGUAGCUUUUGAUAAAGAGAAGCUUGUUCGCCUUGCUCAGAUGUAUCCUAAAGAUUUCAUGGAUCGAGAUAAAUUGGCACUUCAAGAUCAACUUGAUAUUUACAUUCAUUUUGUGCGUUCUGAUAAUGAUUUUUCUCAAUUGCGGGGGAUUAAUGAGCUUGCUAAGAAAAUGGUGGAGAAAGGGUUGCAUCGAACGUUUGCAUAUGUAUAUUUGCUUGUUCAGUUGGCUUUGAUUUUACCGGUUGCAACCGCUUCAGUGGAAAGGGCAUUUUCCGCUAUGAAUAUCAUUAAGGGUCCAUUUCGCAACAAAAUGGGAGAUCAAUGGUUGAGUGACAGCUUAAUUGUUUACAUUGAGAAAUAUGUUUUUUCAUGUAUUGGUAAUGAAGCUAUCAUGGAACAUUUUCAGACUAUGAAACCUCAUCGUGGACGCUUGAAUUAGGAUUUUAUAGCUUGUAAUGUUGUUUUGCACAUGAUUUUUGAAUGAAAUGUAUUAUAUUUAACUUUUCAAUGUUAUUUUUGUCUAUAAAUUUUUUGACCUUUAUUAUUAGGAUCCCCCAAGUUUAAAAUCCUGGAUCCGCCACUGGCUGGGCUUUAAGGACCGUUGGUUGAUCCAACGGUCCAUAUUCAAAUUUAAUUUUUUUAGAAUAUGUUAUUUUAAAAUACAUUGAAUCCAAUGGCUGAUAUUGAAUAUAAUCAAAUCUAACGGUAAAAAAAAGAUCUAAUGGCCCAAAUUUAAAUUUAACGGCUAAAAUAAUUAAAAAAAUUAUUUAACUCAAAAUUCACCAAAAAACUCUAUAAAUACCUAUGUAUUUGUUCAAACAUCCACCCAAAACUCAAUUUUCUCCUACAAUUCUACCAAUUUAUCUUUCUACCAUUUAUUUCCAUUUCCAAAUUGUUCAACAUGGCAAUAGAGCAUAUUAGAGGUCGUAAUUGAACAUGUGAGGAAGAUGUUGCUUUAUGUUUGGCAUGAGUUUCUGUUAGCGAAGAUGGUGCAGUUGACACAAAUCCAAAUAAGAAGGUUUUGUGGUAUAAAAUCAUUGCAAAGUUUCAAGAAAACUGCAAUUGCGGCGGGCGGGAUGGUAGUGGUGUUUAUGAUCAGUGAAAGACUAUCAACAAAGCAUGCACUUUAUGGAAGGGAAGCAUUGAGAUAGCCGUGAUUGGCAUGGUUAGUGGAAAGAGCGCCACAUAAAUUAUGAGUUUUGUUCUUGAUAUUUUAUUUGUCACGUACAUAAUAUUAUUUUGCAACUAAUUAUUUUUAUGUAUUUUUUGCAUAGGGUGACAAAGCAAUGGAAAUUUACAAGACAAGAGUAACACUAAAAAAUCAAGUUUUUAAGUUGCAACAUGCUUGAGACGUCCUCAAGGAUUGUCCGAGGUGGGGAACCGAUGCAGACCAAUAAUGGGGAAGAUUAUUUCAACAUGAAGCCACACAGACAAAUGCCGGAGAUGAAGGUGUCGAUGAAAUGACCCCAUCUCCUUUUUUUGCAAGGCCCCCGAGAAGAGAUAAGCAAAAGGAAGCAAAGAGAAAAGGGAAGUCGCAAGAUUCGAUGAGUGGACACUUUGCUACCGGAAUUGCAAAAUUGAACGAAACUCAUAGCGCUUGCCAAGAAGAAACGGGCCAAAUGCGUUUGCAAAUGAAGGAAAUCUCAAAUAGGGAGUAAGAUAGAUUUGAAAUUAAUUUCAUGAUGGAAGACCUCAGUAAAUACAUUCCAGAGAGGAAGAAGUUCUUACGUGGUAAGCAAAAGAAAAUUUUACGAAAGUCUGCUUCAAGGAGUAUAUUUCAAAAUGAUGAAUCCUCUGAACCUUAUAUCCCAAGUCCUGUACGAAGUCCAUCACAAGUGAAGAUGGUGGAUAUGAUUAUUAAGUUUAUGUAGUGUAUGAAUUAUGUGUUUUAUUAAUUAAGUUUAUGUAGUUCAUUAAUUAUGUGGUUUAUGAAUUAUCGGUUGUAUUAAGUUUAUCUGGUUUAUGUACUUUAUUAAAUUUAUGUCUUAUUAAUUAUUGUUUCUAUUAAUCUAGAUGCCUUCAAUAAUUAUUGUACUUAUUAUUCCACACUUUGAUGUAUAAUAAAUGCUUUCAAUAAUUCAAUCUCCAUUCAAUAAUUUAUCCAACGUACUAAACAAAAUACUUUGCACAAUAAGACACUUAAAUUUAUUAUUAGAAAAUAACAACAUAGUACACUUAAAAUUAUUACAUAAAUGCUUAACCAACAUCAUCAAUGUUCACCUUCUCAUCAGUUGAGUCUGUAGAGCACCCAUUAGCUAGCAUGCAAAAAGCAGAUGUGAGCUUCUGAUGAAGUGAUAGACAUUGUCAGCUUGCGACAUCUAUCAUACUUGCAAAGUAGUGGUCAUGAAAGUUCAGCUUCAGCGUCGAACAAUUCUGCAUCCUCAAUCUCAAUCCUUGCUUGGUUUUGUGCCAUAUGCAUUGCCAUGCUACCCCUUAUUCUAUCACCCAUUGAAAGUUGAAAGAUUGGUGAAUAUAGAGGAUUUUUAGGAACAAAAAUUCAUUGAAAAUUGAAAGAUUGGUGAAUAUAUAGGAUGAUUGAAGGUUGAAAGGUUGUAUGAUCAACUAAUAUUGGACGUAUGUUUAUAUAGAGGAUGAUUGAUGAAAGUUGAACGGUUGGUGAAAGUUGAAAAUUUGGUGUUGAACAGUUGGUGAAUUGAAAAUUUGGUGUUGAACGGUUGGUGAAUUGAAAGUUAGCCUAGGGUUGAAAGAUUGGUGAAAGUUGAAGGCUUGCUUUAUGGAAAAUUUAGUGAUUUUUUAAUAUUUAUCGGAAUUUAAAUAUUUUUAUAUUAAAAUGUUCAUAAAAUUAAUUUACGAUAGUCUAUAUAUUUAUUUAUUUUUUAAAAUUUAACUGAAGAAAAAAAUAGCCUAAGUUCAUUAUUUAAUAAUUAUGAGCUAAAAUUUUAGGUCAGAAGGGUUUGAGCAGAAAAGUUGUUUCUGAGCUAAAAAUGUUGGCUUUUAACCCAACCAUUGGAGUUGAUCUAAUAGGGUAACCCUUGAACUAUUUUGUAUUGACCAAUUUGCACCCUACCUUUAAGAUUUUGAAUUUCUGACCACUUUUUUUUUUGUUGAUUUCUUUUUAAUUUCUAAACAAAAACAAAUGAAUGAGUGAAAAUUGUUAAUUUAGAUUUUGAUAUAAUCAUGGAGUGCAACACACUUAUUUGGGUUGGUUGUGUCAUCUUUGCUUGAUCUUUCUUUUAUUUCCUUCUAUUUUGAAUCAAUAUAAGUGGAGAAAUCAAGCAUUUUGCUUUGAAGAAUAAUAUCGAAAAAAAUCUCAAGAAUGGCAAGGAUAAUUUUCUACUAUAUCGGGAAAGUAUCAAGGAAAAAAAGGUAAUUUUCAGCUAUGAUGAGAAAAUCUCAAAAGUAUGAGAGGAUCCGAAUUUUAAUUUGAUAACAAAACUGAAGUUUAAUAUUCUAUUUUAAACUAAUCUAAAUUAUAAUAUGGAUAUUUAAAUUAAAAAAUAUAUUCGCUUCGGCCAAUGCAACUACCACUGAUCUAAAAAAGAAGUAAUUUUGGUUUCCUUCUUUUGGGUAAUGCAAAGACCCAAAAUUAGAAUCAUAAUACAAAAAAAUAAAUAUGCAUUUAUUCCCGAAAUUAGAAAAAAAAAAAGUAAUUAUUAAUCAAAUUUCAUGUUCAUGUGGGUGAACCCGUGGCAAGUGGCAGCAUAAAAUCCAUUUGAAUUUGAGGAAUUUAAUUUAAAUUAAUAAUGAAGUAAUCAACUUUGCACUUCAAUCGCUCUCCAAAUUCGCGGGAACACCAUGGCAGCCGCCGCUCAGGGCAGCUCUCUUCUCUGCUCCUGCCGCAGCAGACCAUGCACAACCAGAACAACCCUAUCCCCUUUCGGUCCCUAUCCCUUUCUCUCUCCUCUCACCCCCAUUGGCGCAAGCUCCAAACAGUUGAAGCUUUCGAAUUCCAGGUUCUCUUUCUCCUCUAUCUCUAUAUAGGGUUUCUAGGUGAAUUUGAGAAAUGAAUUGUCAAUUAAUUUACAUAUUUGCAGGACUGGUAGGGUUGUUUCUGCUGUGGUUUCUGAGGAGAACGCAAUUCAAUCAAGUUUCUCUGGCACCGAUGGGUUCAAGCUCACUUAUUUGGAGGUGGGUUUUCAAUUUUCUUAUUGGUACUUCUUAAAUUUGAUUACUUUUGGGGAUUUUUUUUUACUUGAAUAAAUGUUUACUUUUAGGGGAAUAGUUGGUUGUGGGAUGUGGGUGGGGUGAAAAUACUGGUGGAUCCAAUCUUGGUGGGUAAUUUGGAUUUUGGAAUCCCCUGGCUUUAUGAUGCUGCGAAGAAGUUUUUGAAGAAUUUCCAGGUACUCCUUUAGCUUCGAAAUCAAUUUUUUGAAGCAAAUUUGCCUUCGAUUUUCCUUUUUAAUUACGCAUAUGUUGCCAUUAUUUUGUAGAAUGUUGUGAAGUUGAUAGGCCUGUUUUGAUUGGGUUUGCAACUUUAGUGCAGUUAAGUGAUAUUCCAGAAGUUGAUUGCUUGCUUAUUACACAAAGUCUUGAUGAUCACUGCCAUUUGAAGACAUUAAAGCCCCUCUCCGAAAAGUACCCGAAUCUUAGAGUAAUAGCUACACCAAAUGCUAAGGCCUUGUUGGAUCCCCUUUUCAGCAAUGUGAGUUUGAAACUAAUGUUUUGUUUAAGGCUGCAGCUUCUUGAAUGUUAAUUUUGUUUUUAUUUUAAAUUUUUUAAUAUACGCUGUUUAUCCAGGUUAGGCAUGAACAAUCUCUACAGUCACCACCAAAGAAACAACGAUGCACUUAAAUAAGCAAUGCCUUGUUUCUUAAAAACUAGUGUAGUUUUUAUAAUUGGGGUAUAUAAUCCGGCUGCUGUGUUGGGUUUAUUGUGCAUCUGUUCCCUCUUAAUUUUUGGUUAAUACAUGUGCUACUAAGAUGGUGGACAUUACUACACAAAUUCUAUUCCUAAAUUUUACCUUUCGCAACAACUGAAGUUACUGAACCUUACUGUCAUUACUUCAACUUGGCUCAAUUGUUCCUGAAAAUUGCAAUGCUGGCAUGCAAGAUAUUCCCAAAGCCGUAGAUGAAGUCGCAUUCCGUGUUUCUAUUUGAGAUUUACACUAAUUUUGUUUAGGUCACAUAUCUAGAACCUGGCCAGAGCUCCAUUAUUGAAGCAGGAAAUGGUUCUACAGUCAAAGUUCAGGCCACUGCAGGGCCAGUUCUAGGUCCUCCUUGGCAGCGCCCCGAAAAUGGGUAAGGUGUCAUUUUUCUUAUUGCGAUUGUAACACUAGUGAAUUCCAUUGGCAAGGAAUGAAAUAAAAAGGAAUGAAGUUAAUGGAAAAUUCUUCUUGAUUGAUUGAAUUAAUAAUUACAACAGAGAGAGCAUAUAAAGCUUUUGCUAAUUACAAUGAAGUCCCUAACCAUCUUUACUAAUUACAAUUACAAGUGUAAACAAACUUCUUAAUGACUGAACUUAAAUUGUUGACUGUAUUGGAUGGCUUGGCUUGUAGAUUUUCCUCUUUAUGAAACAGUUCCUUGUAAUAUGUUCUUUAGUCUUUGGUUAAAUGGAUAUUAACGAGAUGUUAUAAUAUGUGGACCAGAUAUCUUGUCAUUUAUCCAGAAGGGAAAUCUACACUUUACUAUGAACCCCAUUGUGUAUACAAUACAAGUUCACUCGAGAAGGAAAGAGCUAACAUUAUUAUCACACCGGUCAUAAAGCAGCUUCUGCCUAAAUUUACCUUGGUCUCUGGACAAGAAGAUGCAGUUCGACUUGCAAAGCUGCUGAAUGCCAAGUACAGAUUCUUUAUACCUUAAUACUAACAUAUACAUAAAGAUGGUUUUACUAGACACAUAUCAACGUCUUUGUUUUACAUUUUGUAGGUUCAUUGUCCCGAUGACAAAUGGGGACUUGGAUGCCAAGGGGCUUCUUGCUAGUUUAGUUUCGGCUGAAGGAACAAUCGAAUCAUUCAAGGUUGUUUUCUUCUUCUCACGGUUUUUUCUACGGUGAAGUAUUAAGAUUUCUUUGUGCAAUAUUAUCACAAUUGAAGUUGUGGUUAUUAAAUGCAGGAACUUUUGUCCAAGGAAUUACCAGAUGCACAGGUACUGCAGCCUACUCCUGGUGUGCCGCUAGAAAUCCCGCUACCUCCAAAUCUUCCGUAAUAUGUUUUCUGCAGAAGAUAUACAGACACUGUAGCUCACUGAAAAUAUGUACACAUCUCAUCAAACUCGUAAUUUGUAAAUGUCUGUUUAUUUUAUUGAUACCAUUUGUUCACUUUUAAUCUGUAUUCAAAAGCAACUCCAAGUAGGCUUGGCCUCUGAGUUACAUAUGAGAAGCUGGUUCACUUGAACAAUAUUCCAUUUUGGAAUAGUUAUUGGGACAUCGGAGGCACAAAUAUUUGUAAGGCCCACUUAGCUAGUGGUAGAGGCAUGCCACUUAAUAAAAUGACAGACAUGCUUUCCAAUUAGCUAUUCCGUUUAGUAAAUUUUUUUUUUUUUCAAUAUUGAAGGGAGGGUUUCUUUAGUUCACAUUAAAAGUACAAAUUUAAGUUACAUAUCUGAGUAAAAGCCGUUAAAUUAUUUAACUUAGUGCUGGUUUGAGAAUGAUGUGUUUUGAAAAAAAACUGAUUCUGUUGUGCUGUGAGAAUAAACAGCUGUGAAAUAAAACUAUAGAGUGUUUGGUAAAUUUUUUUGUAAAAGUGUUUAUGGAAAAAAAAAACGGUAUUAUAAUGUUUGGUAAAUUUUUAUGUAAAACAGCUGUGAUUAUAUGAAAUAACAAAAAAACGGCAUCGAGUAGUUUCUCCCACUACUGAACUAGACUUUCCAAAAACCAAAAACAUCUCUCUAGACGUCUCCCACACAACCCCAAUUUUCUCAGUUUUUAUAUUUUUUGCUCCGUCUUCUUCUUUUUUAUUUUCUGCUCCGUCUCUUCUUUUUUAUUUUCUGCUCCAUUCCUCAAUCUCUCUCGCAUGUCAUUCCUCAAUCUCUCUCGCAUGUCAUCUGAUUUAAGGAGCUAAGAAAAUCUACUCGUAACCCUGCAGCUGCUGAAGAAAUCAAAGAUUUUGAGGGAAACCCAAAAUCCGAAAAGAGGGAAAGAAAUGAGAAAAAUGCAGAGAACCUGGUUUGGGGUUGAAGACGUGGUUGGGGGAGAGAGGGAUUCUCCCGCAAAUCGCAGUCUCCAUGAAUCGAUCUUUCUUUUUUCUUGUGCUGCUGCUUCUGCUGCAAUGCGUCGUGCGAUUUUAUUUAUUUAGUUACAGGAAUUUUCUGUUUUGGUUUAAACAACCGAAAUAACAAGAAAAAGAUCGAACAACUGGUGGACUCCUGUGCUCUGUCUGGUGGGACUUCUGGUUUUCGCAAUCCAUAAGACGGCGUCGUCUUGACCCUACCAAGUACGAACACUGAAAAUAAUUUUUGUCAAAUUAUAAAUCCAAUUUCUUCACCAAAAUAAAUGAAUAAAUACAUAAAUAAAUCCAAUUUAAAAUGAAAAUCCGAAAUGAGCGGUGGGUUAGGCAUCUCCAAUGUACUAGUUCAGUUUCAUUAACGCAAUUUAUAGUUAAUGUAAUUUGGGUCUUGAAUUUUUAUUUUCAGUCAGUUUAUACUUUAUACUUAUAAAAAUAAGUUAAUGUGAGCAUUCUGUCGACUUGUUAAGAUUUUAUUUAUUUUAUGAAAUCCUAUAAGUUGACAAAAGACUUCACAAUGACUUAUUUUAUCAAGCACUAAACUUUAGGGGUGUGAUAUCCACACAUCAUUUUUUACUUCUCACACAUUCUUCUAAGUUUCGGCCGUUAGAUCGGGUGAAUUGAAAAAGAUCAAAGAGUAGACAUUAAUAAAGAGUGUGUGAGAAGUAAAAAGAAGUACGUGGAUAGCACACCCCAAAAUUUAUUGUAACUCUUGACUAUUAAAUUUUUGAUCGUACAUUCAACCCUCAAUUUAUUAUUAGUUUCAUGUAUAAGUUAUAACGGAACAUAUUAGAUUUUUCGCAAUUUUGACACUAGGUGAAAAUGCAGAGAGCAAAAAAACGUAACUGUCCUUUUUUAAGUUUUGCUCUCACGGCCACUUUCGUCUCUCACUUCAUCUGUGUCUGUAGGUCUCCCCCUUUGAACUCUUCUCGAUUAGUUAUUCAAAUUCCAGUUAUUUAACCAUGACCGUCAGGAAAAAAAAAAAAAAGAGGAUUUCCAAGUUAAAGAAAGCAGGAAAGAAGAAAGCUGCCGAUCCGUUUACGAAAUAUGAAGAAAGAUUGGUACGACAUCAAUGCCCCUCGUCUGUGGUUCUAUAACAACAACGUGGGUAAAACUCUGGUCUCCCGUACUCAGGGCACCAAGAGUGCUUCCGGAGCACUCAAACAUCGACUUUCGGAGGUCUCAUAAACUUUUGGGGGAUGAAUUUCACUAUGGACAAGCUGAGGUCCUUGGUAAGGAAAUGGCAGACUUUGAUGGAAGCUCACGUAGAUGUGAAGACGACAGACAAUUAUACUUUAAGGAUGUUCUGCAUUGGCUUCUCUAAGAGACGUCAAAAUUGGGUCGGUAAGCGCUUGAUAACAUUACACAUCAGAAAACACUUCAAGUUCAAUAUUUUAGAAGAAAAAACUAAAUUACCCUACUUAAUCUGCAUGCAACUUUUAGCACGAUUAAUGUGUUUCAGUAUGAAACUUAUAAUUGUUCGGGAUCUUUUUUUCUUUCUUUCUUCUAAUUUACUAAAUAGGUUAAGAAGACCUGCUACGCACCAGCCAGAUUAGGCGGAUCCGCUGCAAGAUGAGGGAGAUCAUGGUCGCGUGGGCGACAACAAGUGAUCUGAAUGACUUUGUCAAAAGGUUGAUGGCUGAAAGUAUAGGUAGAGAUAUUGAGAAGGAGAUGCUGAGCAUCUUUCCUUUACAAAAUGUGUUUAUCCAUAAAGUCAAGAUGUUGAAAGCACCCAAGUUUGAUCUUGACAAGCUGAUGUAUAUUCAUGGUUAUGAAGACCUUGGUGUCAAGGUUGAGAGCCCUGAUCAUCAAGAAGAAACUGCCCUGGAAUAAAACGUAGGACAGUGAUGUUUUGCUUUAAACUAAUCCCAACUGCGGGGAGGAGGAUUCGAACUCAAGUGCAUAAUAGAGCAUAACUAGUCUAGCGAAUGCAGCUAUGCCCAAGUUUAUAGAUAUCAUCGAAGGUUAAUUGUUGCCAGCAUUUUUUUUUAUUUUCUUCUACUUUAAAGUUGCUCGAAUUAUGUUUUGUGAAAUUUCUCUGAGGACAAAGAACCACUUAUUCAUUUCCCGCCAUUUAUGCGGUAUAUGAAUAUGAAUUUUUCAUGACAAUAUAUUAGAUAACACUACUCCAAAAGAGUAUUUUGACUUGAAAUUGCUUAUGGUAAAGCAAAUGCACAACCAGAACCUAGCAUUAAAAAGUAGAAACAAAUGAAAAUGAUACACGAGUUGCUUGGUACGUAGCUUGGCGUUAAAUAUGAUCCACUCUAAUUAAAAGACAGCAUGCUUGAUUAAUUCUUGAAGGAAGAGGAUGACAGAACACUAGUCCUUACUAGUUACUCCGCAACUUGGAUAAUACAUAAUUUUCGUCUGAUUAGUGGCAUAAUAAUCCGCUUAUAUAUCGUUAAUUACGUGUAAAAACGAUAUGUUGAUGCAUCAGCAAUGAUAUUACGAAAACCUCCAACUGUGGAAGCCAACAUGAUGAACACUCCGAUGAAUAUGCAAACCUGUAAACACACACAAUCCUCAUAAAUAAACUUUUUUGUAGCAUGAUGUAUCAAUUUGCGAUAUCGACAACAAGGAACAUUAGAUAUCUUUGGCUUACCCAGUUGACGAGCCAUUGAAUGCUGUAUCUCUUUGGUUUCUUAAUUCUCAGCCACAUUAUACAAGGAAGCUGUUGAAAAAAUGCUCACUUAGUUAAUUUCUUUCUGAUGAUGUAGUUCUGUAAUUUGUGCAAGAAACAAAUUAAGAAAUCAAAUAGAGUGAGAUAGGCUUACAAAGUAUGAAGUGGGGGCAAAACCAAAUCCACCAAAGAAACCAAGAAGGUCUCCAAAGAAAGGGAAGGUGACUCCAACAAAUAAUGUAAAUGCUGCAACAAUAUAGUGAUUAGGAACUUAAUUAGGGUUUAAUCAAGCAGAAAUGACAGAGAUACGGAGACGUAUGGGAAAUGGGAAUCUCACCAACAUAAGCUGAUCUCGUGAUUAGUCUAAGUGCAAUUCCAGGUGGGAAGUUCAUCUUUUUCACCAUCAUCCUCUCAAGCAUGUCAAAAACAGGCAUAGCAUAAACCUGCACACUUUUCAGUCACAUCCUUAAUUUAAUGUAGUUCUAAUAUUAAUGAGAAACACUCAAAGAAUCAAAGCAUAGAUAAAAGCCAUCUCCUAUCAACUGUUAAAGUCGGAGUCACUAAUGGUCGGAUCAGUUCCAAUUAUUUCUUUUCAAAAUAAUGUUUAAAGUGUGUGUUUUUACGAUAGAAAACACUUCUAAUCAUUAUCAUUUAUAUUAGAAGUGCUUUUGUUAUAAAUUUAAAAAAAAAAUUAGAUAAUUCCAAGUGUUUCCAAAACUUUUAUAAAAUAUAUUUGGAAGUGCUUUCUAGAAAAACACUCAAAAAUGCUUUUAAGUUUUUAUGUCAAACGUAAUCAAAAGCAUUUUUAGUUGUCUGCUUUUGUAACUGAGUGCAGAUUUAUACCUGGUAGCUGCCAAUGACAUGGACGACAACCAUUAGGUUAGCAGCAGCAAUGAGCCAUGUAGGUUUUUUAAGAUCUAUGAGCACGUUAUCAUCGACAUCUUGACCAAAGCCCAGUACCCGAUGAGGGCCACCGGGAAAUAGCAAAUUGCGUUGAUAAAGUAGGCUCCUAGAGCACCUUUCCACAUGGGAAUUCUCGACGGCUUCUCAGGCGUCGAUGGAAUUGUGGCUUGGAUUUCAAGCACCACUGCAUGCCCAGCAAAUGCAAACGAGAUUUGACCUAAUGCAUUGAAAACCCUAAACAUGUAAUCUGCAGGGCUUGUUUUCUUGUAUGCAUAGCUCACGUUUUCAACCUGACCUUUGCUUAAGCAACCUGCCCACGCUAUAGUUGAAUAACUGCAAAUUAACAACAAAUUCUAGUUAUUAAGAAAAAUUAUAUAUUAUUUGCCUUCUAAAGUUCUCUUGUUAGGUUUACGAGUAAAUCUUCCGUAGGGUUGUCCUACUAUUGGUAGAACUAGAGCAUGCAUCUCUAUCCAAAUUUUUCUCGAAUUUUAAAAGGAAAAUAUUCACAAAUAAAAUUAGAAGGCACUAAAACAAUAACAUAAAUAUUGUGCAACGUACUAGUGUAUUAUUUGUUUAGUAACUUUCUAGUUUUACUUUUAAUUUAAAAGUUCAUAAGUAGUUGUCACUUAUACGAAUAGUGGAAUAUAUGUGUUAAAAAAUUAAACUUUCUGCCACUUAUAUAAUAACAUGUGGUGUACCACUUGUGUUCCCGUCAUAAUGAAAAUUUUCUCCUUUAACUUGAGUUUGUGUAAAGUACGUAAAAAGGAAUUAAUUUCUGCACACUCCCUCUUCUUUUUUUUCUGUUUUUUUUUUAACAGGUUUUGUUUGGCCUAAAGCAAGUCUUCUAAAUCAGAUUUUCCUUCUCAUGGAAAGUGAAAAUUAAAAUUACUACCUUAGUGACAUGAUAGCUGCUGCUAGAGAAACACCAGCAACAGAGUUGAAAUUGGGGAGCUGGGAAAGAAAGAAAUGAAGGGAACCAAAGAUGACAAUCCAGUACGAUUGCUUGACUGGUGUGCAAUUGGCACAUGCCAUCUCCACAAAUUUCUUUAGACACUUUCCUCCGGUGACCAUGUACACUAUGUCACAACCAACCUGCACAAUCAUUUGUUGCGGAAGCACAAUCCAUGGCCCGAACUUUGGUCCGAAGGCGUGUCGGCCAAGGUCGAUGUAUCGGUCAAACCUAGUUCCCGGAACACAUUCAUGGAGCUGAAUCAUCUGCCACAUUGUGUUCAAGGUCAUGCACCAUGAUAUUACCAGCACCAUUGUCCCUGGACCCCUGAAAAUUAAAGGUAGAAAAAAGUAGGGCUUAUUAGUAUAUUAAUACAAGUACAACUCGUAUAUGUAUUAUUAUCAUGAGUUGGGGUGUUUUGUACCAUCCUAAGAAGGCCAUGGCAUACGGCAGGCUGAGUACACCGGCACCGAUCAUGGCGGUGACUGUGUGAAAGGUGGAGUACCACCAUUUUGCUCGGCGGGCGUUGUCCACCGGCUCCUCCUUCCAUUUGUCGUCUGAAACAACUUCCUGCCAUAGUUUCAAGGACAAGAACGAACAAACAGAAAAAUCAGAGUGGAAUUUGGAAAACGUCGUGUGAAUAAAGAGUGGUGAUGCUCACCUUUGGAGGAGGAGAAGUUGUAACCAUUUUUUUUCUCUUCUUUUGCGAUGAAGACAGAGAAACACUUUCAAUGUGGGAGUUGAUUGGUCGUCAUCAUGCUGUACGUAUAUAGUGGUUUCCUGGCCCGGAAUAUAGGCAGAAAUGUGGGAUAGUACAUUCCAAAACCCCACUCAUGCAUUUAUUUUUAGCUUUUUUUUUUUAACACAGGGACUUGUGCUUUUCCAGUUGAGUGAGAAAUUUUUAGUUGUGACGAAAACAUGAGUGGUACACCACGUGUUUUUAUGUAAGUGGUGGAAAAUUUUACUUUUUAAGUUAUUAACUUUUUAACACACAUAUCCCACUAUUUAUAUAAUGACACGUGGUGUAUCAUCCGUGUGACGGUCACAUUAAAAAAUCUCUCCAGUUGAGCAAUCGUGAAUCAUAUAGGAAAAAGCGGUAAAUAAUUUAGUAAAUUAAGAUGAUAUAACAAAGGGAAAGAGAUCCUUUCCGGAUCUCUUCCUUCACAGUCCAGGGAUCAAUUGAUCCAGAUCCUUGAAAUUUGAUCCACCGGUCAAAAAUUAUUAUAACUUUUAAAAGUUUUUACUAACUUUUUAUUUAUUUAUUUAUUUAUUUAUUUUUACUAACUUCUUUGUUUUUAGCCGUUAAAUCAAAUUUCAAGAGACCGGAUCACUUGAUCCUUAGGCUUUGAAGGGAGAGAUCCGGAGAUAUCUCUUUCCAUAACAAAACCCCUUGUAUGUACUUGGCAAACGAUGUUAAAGUUUUAAACCCUCCACUUAAAAUUAUCUAAAGUGACACGAGCUAAUAUUGCAAACAAGGUUUUACGAGACUUCACAUUUGUCAUACUAGCAAUUAUACACGUUUAUGGUGGCUAAAACUUUUUGGUGAGGAACCUCCAAAAUAUUUUUCGUCGCUGAAGAGGCUUUUUAUAUCUUUAGCGAUUGCUUAUGCAUAUCUAUUUCAUACUAGGAGUUUAUUUUAUUUAGGAGAAAAAUAAGGGAAAAAAAAUGGAGGCAACUGAUAUGAUCACCUGGCCAUGAAACUUUGAAAAAUAAAAAAUAGUAAAAUUAAUUUGUGUUUAAUUUUACUAUAUUGCCAGUGACUUUUAUGUUGGUUAUUUUUCUUUAUUUUGUUGGUAGGGCUAAUUUGAUCAUUUCAAUCUCUUUUGGUUGACAAAUAGAGUUUUGUUAAUAAAUAUUUUAGAUUAUGUGGUUGGAGAGAGGUAUGGAUUGGACUUUCUUAUUAAGUUAGUUUCUUACAUUGAUGAGACCAGUAUGAUAUACGAUCAUGAGACCUAAUACAAGAAAUUUUAUGUCAAAUGGCUCUAAAGAUAACAUGCAACACGUGAGUUUAUAUAUGAAAGAUAUGUUUCUUAAAACGGGCACAAACAAAUUUUUCUCCAAAAUUACUCAAGAUAACUAGGACUGUGGUUUGAUGAUAUACUCCACCCACUUUGAUGCUAUAUACAAAGGAAUCUAAGGACCCCAUUUUGAAAAGCAUUAUUCCAUUAAGCUCCCCAUUUUGACAAGCAUCAUUUCAUAAACCUCCCUUGUCAAUUUUUCUUUACACAAAAAGUUCUUAUGUGCAAUUAUUUAUUUCUAUCCCAAGUUUUGAACCAAUGAUUAAAGAGCUUAGUUGGUGGUGAAUGGAGCCACCUAAAUUGAAUGCGUUGGCAUUAUAAAGAGGGAAUAGUUUGAGGGGUUAAUGAUUAAAGAGCAAGUGAAGGAAUGCUCUUCGUGUAUGGGAGUCGCUGGUGGGGGCUCUUUUUCUUUCUUCUUUUCGAGUGUCCCCUGUGGCUUUGCUAUUUGCAUCCCCAAAAGCCAAUGACGAUUGACUGCUACCCACUUCUUACCACAAAAUAACAAGUAUUAUAUGAUUAUAUCUUGUUUAAUUAAUCUUACACUAAUUCAACAUCAUGCUUAUAUCAUACAACAUGAGUAAUGCUAUUCAUAUUAUGUUUUUAUACCACACUAGGUGGCAUCUGAUGUCAAUAGCCACAUCAUUUGAAAAAUUUGCAAAAUCCGAGGAAAUGAAGGAGAAAGACUUCUCUUAUACCACAAUCAUCAUUUAAUUAACUAGUUUUUCUUAAUUAUUAGUUUAUUAAAUAAUGAACUAAAUUUAAAAAUCUGAUCAAUUCAAAUAAUUUGGCUGUCCACAUCAAAUGCAAUCUAAGGUGGUAUGAAAAUGUGGUACAAAAACUUGGUAUGAAUAGCGUUACGACAAUUGUAGGUUUUAUGACGGUUUUUGUAGAAAUUUGUAAAACCGAUUAAAAACUGCAAGUUAGACACCCAUUAAACCCAUAACGUCCUCCAGAUAGCAAACGAACGAGGGGAGUUUAUAACAGAUGUUGCGAAGACUCGUUAUAGUAGUCAAGGACUAGAUGAAACUCCAAGCAGAUUGACUACCUCCAGACCUUAAAUCCUCAUCUUGAACAAAACCAGCACUUAAUUAAUAAGCAUAUUUAACAGUAAAGCAUCCAUUAGAAGAAGAACCCAAAUGCAGGAAUCACUUAUCGGGCAUAUCCCCUUUAACAUCAGUAGGGUUACUUGUUAGUCCGCCGUACGACAUCGGCACGAAGAACAUUCAAAAGCAUCACAAAUUUCUAUCGAACGCAAGUCAAGUAACUAGCCACAGUUUCAUAAUUUUCAUCUAAAAAGAUAGGCCUCUGAAACUGAUAAAUAAAAGUCCGAUCAUUAGGGGUUACAAUGGCUGAUAGUAAAGUUAUUUAUAUGCGAGUCCCCGAGUGUUUAUAACAAGUUGAAGCUCUUAUUUAACCCAUAAAGCCCCCUCCAGGCAUAUUAGGCCCUUGUGACGAAACCUGUCCCUGUGAAACUAAUUGCGACCGGCCUUGAACAUAAGCUUGAGUCAUCCCCGUCCCAACCAACUGUUGUUGUUGAUGCUGUUGAUGCUGUUGCUGCAAUUGCUGAAGCUGCGGCAGUUGCUGUUGUGAUUGAAGUUGUGAGAGCUGCUGCUGCGAGAGUUGCUGCUGUUGUUGAAUCUGAGGGUGCUGAUGUUGAAUCUGUGGAUGUUGUUGUUGAAUCUGAGGAUGCUGUUGUUGCUGACCGGGUACUUGCAUUUGUUGCUGCUGUUGCUGACCCGGUACUUGCAUUUGUUGCUGCUGUUGCUGACCGGGAACUUGCAUGUGUUGUUGCUGACCGCCUACUUGAAUUUGUUGCUGCUGUUGCUGACCAGGAACUUGCAUGUGUUGUUGCUGACCGCCUACUUGAAUUUGUUGCUGUUGUAGCUGUUGCAUUUGCUGCUGCUGCUGCUGCUGCUGCUGUUGCUGACCACCUACUUGUGGUUUAAACACAACCAUAUCCUGAACCGAUGGUAGAUUUAGCUUUAACAAAAACCAGGUUGUAAGAAGGUUACAAUGCCGAGCCACAAACUCAAUUUGGAGUACCACCACAGGCCUCCAUUUCAGAAAGAAGUUAAAACAGAAGUUGCAGGAUAUGCAGGGAACCUUCAGAACUAAAAGCACCUUAUACAGGCUAGAAAGGUCUUUAACGAUCCCCACAAAAUUUUCGCAAAAUAAAAGGUCCAUUUUCCAGGUUUCUUUUAGUAAUGAAGGUACCUCACAUAUUUGUUGUGGAUUUAGCUCAGAGUUGGUGGCUAUUACUUUAUAUUGGCAAAAAACUAAUAAUAAGGAAUUACAAUCCGCGGUAAUAAGAAUGGUCUAACUAAUAACAAGCUCACCCCUGGAAACAGCAUUCCAAUCAAGCGAUAUGCUUUGUCUGAAACAGAGAGCAGUAGUGUCUGAGAGGGCAAUUGGAUCACUGCACACUGAAAAAGUGGGAAAUCAGCUUUUUGAGAAGAAAAAAAAACAUAUCAGAAUAGUCCUCGGUUUCAUGUUCACAUUCAAAGGAAAACUAUUGCAGGUGGUCAAAUAAAAUAGAAGAACUAGCUUUUGAUGCUGAAGUCUCACAUGGAUGAUACCAGAAUCAAGAAUUACCCCACUUCAAGCCAAGAGAGCCAAUUAAAUGCAUAAAUUUAGUUUAUCACAGCAUUUAGAGGUUCUUGAGUUUAAACAGAUAAUUAACCAAGUUCAUAUGAGAAUGUCACACAGAAUCUAAGGAAGUACUCUGCCAUAUCAGAAUUUACAGAUAAUCAAGUGGUAAUCCAAGAUGCUUAGAUUAAUAUAUAUAACAGAAGACGAUGAUUAGGCAAGUGGGUAAGGACUUUUAAGGGAUAAAGUGGAAGCGGCAAGAAAUUGGAUAGCAAAUUAGCAAUGAGGACAAUUUUUGAGUCUCAAAGGAAAAAGUGGUAAGGUAAAAUAAAGAGAGUAGACAGCUUACAAGUUUCUUCUCUUGCAAUUGCCCAAGAAACCCAUGCUGAUUCAUUGCCCGAAAAACUAAAAAGUCUGCCUUUCCAACAUAUUGCCUGAAUUAUAAAUAUUGAUGAAGUCAAGAAAACUGAGGAAUAUAACAUCAGGAGGAAAAUAUUACACAGAAAAAUAAAGGAGGGAAUGUUUUCACUAAAUUGUAAUUACUUGUUAUUCAUGUGGUCCUGAGAUAUGAGCCUCACUAUUUGCAUUGUUGGUGGCCAGUUCGCCGCAAGCCUGAGGAGUGAAAUAAUGCACAUCAAUAAAUAAACGCCAAUGACACAUUUUACCAUAGUCUGAGAUUAAGAUUUUAUUGUACACUAAAGCACCAACCAAUUAAGGCCAACUAAAGAGUUCUGAUCAAAAUACAUUCAACCUCACGCCACUAUUCUUACAGCAUGUCAAGAUAUUAGGAUUCUAAGAAUGAAGGUAACUAAAUUUUUAUUUUAACCAAAGAAAAAGCCGUCUGCUUUGAUAAGUUAGAAAUAUUAAUAGUCAUAGACCUCUUUUUCUACAUAAAAGAAUUAAAGUUAAAAUAGAAACUUUAAACCAUUGAUUACAUUCCAUUAACAUCUAUUUGAAACAAAAAGAAGAAAGAGUACUCCCGACUUACGUCUCAGAAGCUGAAGCACUCCUGUAACCCUGACAAAAUUAGAAAGCAUUUGUGGAGUCAACAAAUAAUUAACUGCUAAAAUUGUAAAAGAUAACUAAGAGAAAUAUAAAUAAUCCCAUGUCGUUAGGCCCUAAACAUGCCUCAUGCUGUGGUUUAAUUCAGGAUGCUCACACCCUUAUGGUUAUCAAAUUGUCUAUAAAAAUAGAUGCUAUUGAUAGCACACUUGAAAUAACUAUUUAUGGAUUGUUCAGUGUUUUCGGCAAUUUUUGUUCUCUCUCCUCCUCCAACAAAUAUAUUAAAACUCAAACCAAAUGCAUAAUACUUUUGAAUUCAAAUCACUCUGAAGCACAAUCACAAGGAAACAUAGAGAACUUUUUUCAGAAAAAUUUAAGUUCGACAUAAAUAACUAUGGUUAUCCAUGACAGCACAUUGGGUUGAUUCAAUGGCAAUUUGGAAUUUCCCUCUCCGGUGAUAGUUUAUCAGUGGUGUUUUGGGUGAAGAGUAGUUUGUGGAUAUCAAAGAAAUGAUGGUCAGAUGGUUUACCAAUUUAUAUGGAAACAUACUGAAAAUCCUCAUGUGCCAAAGUCACACACAUGCUCCAUUUUUCUCUCAAAAAUAAUGAUUUUGUGCAAUGCAAGAAACCAGACGUAAGAGUAUCACAAAAUAAACCACAGUUUCCAUGUCAUCCAACAAGGCAACGGAGAACGAACCUCCAAUCUAGUGAUAAACACAGGCUGCCCUUGUCUCUGCCCAGAUAAAGCUCCCUGCAUGUAUUUUGAUCAUUCAAGUAUGAGUGAUUGCGGAAUACCACAGUAAAACAGGACCAACCAUCUUUAAAACUUUCGUGAUAUUCUAGCUUAAAAAAGUUACCACCAGAAGUUUGAAAAUCCAACCGUAUUUUUUUAAAAGACCUACCUCCCAGACUUUCACAUAUUUGGAUUGUGCAGAUGCCAGAGCACUUGAUGUCUGUUGUGAAAAUGGCACAUUAGAUGCUGAAUUAUUGUUUGCACCAAGUGACUGCAUCCCAGAUUGCACCUGUUGAGCCAUUCCUGGAGUAGGAAUCAUUGUACCAGUUCCAGAAGAGGCACCUGUUGAACCAAGGGCACUCAUCAUGUUUGGGUUCAUGCCAAUUCCACUUUGAACCAUUUGCGGUCCCGAGAGAUUUCCUUGGCUCAUACCAGGCACAGCUUGACCCAUACUAACACCACCUUGAAGGUUGCUCAUUGGUUGUGACAUCCCAAGGUUAUUGUUGCUCAUUGGUUGUGACAUCCCAAGGUUAUUGUUGCCAGAGACAUUAGAGGUACCUGAAGUGAAUGAAUUAAGACCUGGGUUCUGCGCAACCUGUGUAAGAGUGCCGGACCCGGAAGAUGAAAAUACAUUUUGAGCAGCACCAACUGAAGAUGCCAUUCCACUAGAUAUCAUGUUUGAUACAUGCAUGGCCAUAGGAUUUUGACCCAUAGUUGGGAGUCCCAUAGAAGUUCCUCCAGUUAAGGCUGCUGCGUUCAUCACGCGUGCUUGAGAGAUGUUAUUGAGGAUGCUACCUACAGGACGCGAGGGAUGUGUC